RNAcentral lists this small RNA (50 nucleotides) under Drosophila willistoni. Its description in RNAcentral is "GK27055". Lineage: Eukaryota; Metazoa; Arthropoda; Insecta; Diptera; Drosophilidae. The record is from RNAcentral.
CAGCUAAAUAGUUUAAUGUAUCAGCAAUCCAAUCACCAUCAAAUGUAAUG